UCGUUAGCUUACAAGCAGCAGGAGAAUGACUUAUCGUUUGACUGUGUGCAUGUUGAAGAAUGAGCCGACGACUUAUGAGAAGUGGCAGGUUAAAAUAAAUUAUAUUGGAGCCAUAGUGAAAGCGAGCUUUAAUAGAGCGUUAGUCAUUUUUCAUAGACCCGAACCCGAAUGAUCUAACCAUGACCAGAGUGAAUUUUAGGUAAAACUGAAUGGAAGCUCGAACUGACUGAUGUUGAAAAAUCAGCAGAUGAGUUGUGGUUAGUGGUGAAAUGCCAAUCGAAUUCGGAGCUAGCUGGUUCUCCCCGAAAUGCGUUUUGGCGCAGCGGUUAAUUUUAAUUUUUAGGGGUAAAGCACUAUUUUAAUAAAGGUUAUGAAAAUAAUACUACAUUAAGGUAAACUCUGAAUACUGAAAAAAAUAAUUAACUAGUGAGACUAUGAGGGAUAAGCUUCAUUGUCAAAAGGGAAACAGCCCAGACCACCAUUUAAGGCCCCUAAAUAUUUACUAAGUGAUAAAAGAAGUAAGAAUACUUAUACACCUAGGAGGUUUGCUUAGAAGCAGCAAUCCUUUAAAGAGUGCGUAAUAGCUCACUAGUUUAGUGCUCUUGCACUGAAAAUUUAAGGGACUAAGUAUUUUGCCGAAGAUGUGGGAUGUUUUUACAUCGGUAGGGGAGCGUUCUGUAAUAGUUAGAAGUACUAAUGAAAGUGAGUAUGGACGAAUCAGAAGUGAGAAUGUCGGCUUAAGUAGCGAAAACAUCAGUGAGAAUCUGAUGCCCUGAAAACCUAAGGUUUCCUUUGCAAGGCUCGUCCACAAAGGGUAAGUCAAGACCUAAGGCAAGGUUGAAAAACGUAGUCGAUGGACGACAGGUUAAUAUUCCUGUACUAUUUAUUAUUAAUAUUAAGGGACAAAGAAGGCUAAAUCAUCCGGAUUUUGGUUACCGGUUUAAACUUAUUAAGUUAAGAUGAAUAGCGAAAAUAUUCAGAGCUAAGUAGUGAAUACAAGAUUAUUUUAUAAUCAAAGUGAUUGAAGUCAUACUUUCUAGAAAAUCUUAUCAUAUUUUAAGUAAUAAAUACUUGUACCUUAAACCGACACAGGUAGGUAAGUAGAGAAUACUAAAGGGCGCGAGAUAACUCUCUCUAAGGAACUCGGCAAAAUAGCCUUGUAACUUCGGAAGAAAAGGUGCCUUUAUUGAUAAGGUUGCAAUAAACUGGCCCAAGCGACUGUUUAUCAAAAACACAGGUUUCCGCGAAGUCGUAAGACAAUGUAUGGGGGCUGACGCCUGCCCAGUGCCGGAAGGUUAAAAAAAACAGUUAGUAACUACAAAGCUGAAGAUUAAAGCCCCGGUAAACGGCGGCCGUAACUAUAACGGUCCUAAGGUAGCGAAAUUCCUUGUCGGGUAAGUUCCGACCUGCACGAAAGGCGUAACGACUUGGGUACUGUCUCAGAGAGAGNNNNNNNNNNNNNNNNNNNNNNNNNNNNNNNNNNNNNNNNUAUAAAAUAAUCAUAAGUGAGAUACCACUCUAAAUAAAUUAAAUUUCUAAUCUUUAACCAUUAACUGGUUGAGAGACAUUUUUUAGUAGGCAGUUUGACUGGGGCGGUCGCCUCCUAAAAAGUAACGGAGGCGUGCAAAGGUUUCCUCAAGCUGGUCAGAAAUCAGUUUUAGAAUAUAAAGGUAUAAGGAAGCUUGACUGCGAGAAUUACAAUUCGAGCAGAGACGAAAGUCGGCCUUAGUGAUCCGACAGUACUGAGUGGAAAGACUGUCGCUCAACGGAUAAAAGUUACUCUAGGGAUAACAGGCUAAUCUCCCCCAAGAGUUCACAUCGACGGGGAGGUUUGGCACCUCGAUGUCGGCUCAUCGCAUCCUGGGGCGGUAGUAUGUCCCAAGGGUUGGGCUGUUCGCCCAUAAAAGCGGUACGCGAGCUGGGUUCAGAACGUCGUGAGACAGUUCGGUCCAUAUCCGGUGUAGGCGUUAGAGUAUUGAAAGAAUUUCUUUUUAGUACGAGAGGACCAAAAGAAACAUACCUAUGGUGUGCCAGUUAUUGUUCCAACAGUAUAUGCUGGGUAGCUAAGUGUGAUUGGAUAACUGCUGAAAGCAUAUAAGCAGGAAGCCUACCUUAAGAUGAAUACUCUUUAUUUAAUAAGAUCACGGUAAGAUUAACCGUUUGAUAGGCAUUAAGUGUAAGUAUAGUAAUAUAUUUAGCUAAGAUGUACUAAUAGAUCAAUAGCUUGA
RNAcentral lists this ribosomal RNA (2228 nucleotides) under Leachiella pacifica. Its description in RNAcentral is "large subunit ribosomal RNA". It matches the Rfam family "Bacterial large subunit ribosomal RNA", at positions 556 to 2925 of the family's 2925-position model. The record is from RNAcentral. Lineage: Eukaryota; Rhodophyta; Florideophyceae; Gigartinales; Choreocolacaceae.